This 87-nucleotide transfer RNA is filed under the name Patescibacteria group bacterium. RNAcentral describes it as "tRNA-Ser". It matches the Rfam family "tRNA". Rfam says of the family: Transfer RNA (tRNA) molecules are approximately 80 nucleotides in length. The record is from RNAcentral.
GGAGGCGUGUCCGAGCGGUUUAUGGAUGUGGUUUUGAAAACCAUUGGAGACGUAAGUCUCUCGCAGGUUCGAAUCCUGCCGCCUCCG